AGCCUGGUAGACAUCGAACCCCACAAGCAGAAUUAAACUGAUUAUAACACACAUUCUGGAUGAAGAAACCGUUCUCUGGGGGAGUGAGAACAGGACAAACCACCACUACAAAGAGAGCAAGUCUGGAUGUGUGAUGAAGGUCUGGGCAUGGCAGGCAGGUACCCAUUCCUCCAGAAACUGCUUCGGGUUUAUAUGUACCAGAUGGACAAGCUAAGGAAAGCAGGAGGGAAGGCCAGUCUUUAUGUAAAUAACAUCCAGCUGCUUCUUUAACAGUGACAGCACUGUUCUGAUGGGAUAUCAAAUCUGCUACUGAUGGGUGACCACUGCUUUUGAAACACUGGGCCAAAAGAGUCGGAAAGAUGGGCAGAGAGCAAAGAGAAGCAAACAAACAUGCAUGUGAAAAGAACAGAAACACCCAAAGAAAGCCUGACAGCGAAACUGAGACAGGAAGGGAGACGUAAACAGACAGAUGGAGGACAAGAAUGCAAGACAGGAAGACAACUAAAGGGAAAGACAGACAAUUUGAAAAAAGUGUGCAUCUGCGCUCAAGUGAGAGAACCAGACGUACAGAUGGAGGGAUGGAAUAAGUUAGUAAGAGGGAGGAACUGGCGAACAGGAGGGAUGAUUGGUUUCCUUUCACAAAAUACAGUAAUAAAAAAAAAAACGCUGGGAAAAAUGUCAAACAACUGGUUAUUAAAUUUCCGUACCUUAACACAAAUGUACUGAUGUUUUUACUGUGUCUACUGAAGACGUUUUGCUACUCGUCCAAUUUGUCUGAUGGCUGGAAUUCCCCAGCAUCCAAUAGCUGAUGAAGUCAUUGAGAUGGGUGGCUUCAA
Molecule: long non-coding RNA, 836 nt
Organism: Paramisgurnus dabryanus
Lineage: Eukaryota; Metazoa; Chordata; Actinopteri; Cypriniformes; Cobitidae
Source: RefSeq, a predicted model, not a curated record